UAACGACUCUCGGCAACGGAUAUCUCGGCUCUCGCAUCGAUGAAGAACGUAGCGAACUGCGAUACUUGGUGUGAAUUGCAGAAUCCCGUGAACCAUCGAGUCUUUGAACGCAAGUUGCGCCCGAAACCUUCCGGUCGAGGGCACGUUUGCCUGGGUGUCA
RNAcentral lists this ribosomal RNA (160 nucleotides) under Eucalyptus alba. RNAcentral's name for it is "5.8S ribosomal RNA". It matches the Rfam family "5.8S ribosomal RNA". From Rfam's summary of the family: 5.8S ribosomal RNA (5.8S rRNA) is a component of the large subunit of the eukaryotic ribosome. It is transcribed by RNA polymerase I as part of the 45S precursor that also contains 18S and 28S rRNA. Functionally, it is thought that 5.8S rRNA may be involved in ribosome translocation. Lineage: Eukaryota; Viridiplantae; Streptophyta; Magnoliopsida; Myrtales; Myrtaceae. RNAcentral also lists the same sequence under 1 other name. The record is from RNAcentral.